UGGGCCAGCGUUAGAUGCAAGGACAUUAGAUCUAUAAUGAUUAGGAGGUGGGGAUGGUGGAGGCAUAUGAGCAACUAGAGUGAGGGAAGAACGGCGGGGCACAUGCACACCACUUGGAUUAGGAAGAGCUGCACAUCUAGAAGGGAGAAAAAAGGCAGGCAACGAUGGCUUAGGCCACAGCAGCAGCGACCUCUGGCUCAGGCUUGAACCUUGGUUUAUCCAGGUUUGAUAUCCAUUGAUUAUGCCUGGUGUUGAUAUGUGAUGUUGGAUGAAUUAUUCAAUUUUCAUUACUGAUCGCGAGAAUAUUGUACGACACAUGUUAGGUUGGAAUAAUUUGUGCCUUCCAUUUCUGCAUGAAAUAGGAAAGUUGCCCAGGCAAAGGAAGCGUGCAUGUCAUUCUUUUGAUCGAGGGCUUGGCAAAGGAAGCAUAACAAUCCCCGAGGGCUAUCAAUGAAUGCUUAAAUCAUGCAGGCCUUUCUUUGGAUUGAGGGGAAUUGAGGAACUAAUACAGGCCAUGAGAGAGGCACCUUACUUUGAUUUAUUUUUUGCAACAAUUACAUGUACUAAUCUUUUUUGAGAACUACAUGUACUAAUCUUGAGGUCAUGUUGCAAUCCUAGCAAUAUUAAGCUGUCUUUUGAUGGCCAACCUCUACUACAUUUUGAUUUGCAAAUGUUGUUCAUGCAGUAACUAUAUGUGAUA
Long non-coding RNA from Oryza brachyantha (malo sina), 700 nucleotides. RefSeq lists it as uncharacterized. Lineage: Eukaryota; Viridiplantae; Streptophyta; Magnoliopsida; Poales; Poaceae. The record is from RefSeq and is a predicted model, not a curated record. The transcript is spliced from 3 exons.